RNAcentral lists this ribosomal RNA (628 nucleotides) under Salmonella enterica subsp. enterica serovar Reading. Its description in RNAcentral is "partial 23S ribosomal RNA". It matches the Rfam family "Bacterial large subunit ribosomal RNA", at positions 2200 to 2824 of the family's 2925-position model. The record is from RNAcentral. Lineage: Bacteria; Pseudomonadati; Pseudomonadota; Gammaproteobacteria; Enterobacterales; Enterobacteriaceae.
CCACCCUUUAAUGUUUGAUGUUCUAACGUGGACCCGUAAUCCGGGUUGCGGACAGUGUCUGGUGGGUAGUUUGACUGGGGCGGUCUCCUCCUAAAGAGUAACGGAGGAGCACGAAGGUUGGCUAAUCCUGGUCGGACAUCAGGAGGUUAGUGCAAUGGCAUAAGCCAGCUUGACUGCGAGCGUGACGGCGCGAGCAGGUGCGAAAGCAGGUCAUAGUGAUCCGGUGGUUCUGAAUGGAAGGGCCAUCGCUCAACGGAUAAAAGGUACUCCGGGGAUAACAGGCUGAUACCGCCCAAGAGUUCAUAUCGACGGCGGUGUUUGGCACCUCGAUGUCGGCUCAUCACAUCCUGGGGCUGAAGUAGGUCCCAAGGGUAUGGCUGUUCGCCAUUUAAAGUGGUACGCGAGCUGGGUUUAGAACGUCGUGAGACAGUUCGGUCCCUAUCUGCCGUGGGCGCUGGAGAACUGAGGGGGGCUGCUCCUAGUACGAGAGGACCGGAGUGGACGCAUCACUGGUGUUCGGGUUGUCAUGCCAAUGGCACUGCCCGGUAGCUAAAUGCGGAAGAGAUAAGUGCUGAAAGCAUCUAAGCACGAAACUUGCCCCGAGAUGAGUUCUCCCUGAGACUUAGAG